RNAcentral lists this long non-coding RNA (326 nucleotides) under Zonotrichia albicollis (white-throated sparrow). RNAcentral's name for it is "lncRNA (ENSZALG00000001116.1)". The record is from RNAcentral. Lineage: Eukaryota; Metazoa; Chordata; Aves; Passeriformes; Passerellidae.
GAUUUCUGGGAUUUUGGGGAAUUUGGGGAAUUUAGGAUUGGGAUUUUGGGGAAUUUGGGAUUUCUGGGAUUUUGGGGAAUUUGGGAUUGGGAUUUCUGGGAUUUGGGGGAAUUUGGGAUUGGGAUUUUGGGGAAUUUGGGGAAUUUGGGAUUGGGAUUUGGGAAUUUGGGAUUUCUGUGAGUCCCCGGUUUCCGUUUCCCGCAGAUCCCUCGGGGUUCGUGUUCGAUUCUCGCUCCGGGGCCGUGCGGGCUCAGGGCGGCGCCGAGAACAUGAGGGAGAAGGUGCAGGCCGUGCGCGCGGUCGUUCCCAACCGCAGCAACACCGAG